This 468-nucleotide ribosomal RNA is filed under the name uncultured bacterium. RNAcentral describes it as "partial 16S ribosomal RNA". It matches the Rfam family "Bacterial small subunit ribosomal RNA", at positions 28 to 507 of the family's 1533-position model. The record is from RNAcentral.
GACGAACGCUGGCGGCGGGCUUAACACAUGCAAGUCGAACGGAAAGUCCCUGGUUAUGUGGGGUGCGCGAGUUGCGAACGGGUGAGUAACACGUGGGUAACCUGCCACUGACUUUGGGAUAACUUCAGGAAACUGGGGCUAAUACCGGAUAGGAGCUCCUGCUGCUUGGUGGGGGCUGGACAGUUUCGGCGGUUGGGGAUGGACUCGCGGCGUAUCAGCUUGUUGGUGGGGUAGUGGCUUACCCAGGCUCUGACGGGUAGCCGGCCUGAGAGGGUGACCGGCCACGUUGGGACUGAGAUACGGCACAGCCUAAUACGGGAGGCAGCGGUGCGGAAUAGUGCACAGUGGGCGGAGGGAUGAUGCAGCACCGCCACGUGGGGGGUAACAGCCUUCGGGUAGUAUACCGCAUUCGUCUGUGACGAGGCGUGAGUGACGGUAAUGGGUGAAGAAGCACCGGCUAACUACGUG